CAAUAAUGUAUAGUAUAAUCAAGUAUUCCUUUAUUUGUUGCUUUUGGUAAACUUCACCACUAAGCUUGAUGAUUCAUUAGCUGUCCACGCCGCGACUUAGCCGACUGGAAAAUGUGCGCCGACAAUGUGACAUGAGCGUUAAAUUUGAUCAGGCGGCCAGCACACAGCUACAGCUACAGCUGGGGGCUAUAAUGGGUUAACAUUAACAUUUAACCGUCGCGUCGUUCUCGUCAAUGCAAAUUUGCACGUGUUUGUGGAAAUGGCUCGGAAAUAAUGUCGCUGUCUAUUAGGAACAUGGCGCGUUAAUGGCGCAAUCAGGGACAGCUCCACAAGAAAGAAUGCAAAAGUCCUAAGAACUAGUCUUUGUUACGUAUCUAAAUGGUGAGAAAGCGGCACGCAAGACACCACAAAAUCCAAAUCGACCGGAUUCGUUCGUUUAGGGUCAAUCAAAUUAGCUUGGAAAAUCAUUAGAGAGAGACCAAAACAAACAUAAGAAAGACUGUGGAAUGGGGAAUCGUGAAUUGGAAGUUGGGAUUCUUGAUUCGUUCAAUGAACUUGCCAAACAACCCAUCAAACGGAAAGCGAUAUUAAUAAUUGACAAUUAAAAUGAUAAUCAUAUUAAUAGUUUCAUCAAAUGGAAAUACUUGUUGAGUUCGAAUAAAUUGGUCUAUAAGUCAGUCAAAAGAAAGCUCAGCCUAUUCACAACUAGUUGGGUCAUUGACCCAAAAAAUGAAGAAUAGAAAAUGGCAACAUCCAGCUUCACAAUCACAUAUGGAAAAACCAGCUUCAGAACAACAAACAAAAUGGAAAAUAGGCAAGAUCUAGUUACUGACAUCAUUUAAAGAACUCCAACCCAGGCUCAGUCUUAGUCUCAGUCCGAGACCGAGACGUAAGUACUUGUAUUUAUGGAGAUAUUGUCGUUGGCAUUGCAAAUCUCAGCGGAGAAGCCAAGACAACCAGGAAGCGAACAAACUAAAGUUUGUGGACCGCAGACUUGAUUGCAAGCCUGCAGCUAUGUUGAAGAGUUUCCAGUUUAUAGCACACAAUAAAGAACACGAAUAGCGAAUUCCCUUGAUUGAAAAAAAAAUAGUGUGUGGCAUAUAAUUAUCGCAUUGUUUUAUUCUAUUCUUGACCAUUCUAUUUUGCUAUAUUCUCUUUAAUAAUGUUCUUCAACCUUAACUUAAUUUGUGUAA
Molecule: long non-coding RNA, 1193 nt
Organism: Drosophila sulfurigaster albostrigata
Lineage: Eukaryota; Metazoa; Arthropoda; Insecta; Diptera; Drosophilidae
Exons: 3
Source: RefSeq, a predicted model, not a curated record